Molecule: ribosomal RNA, 256 nt
Filed under: uncultured bacterium
Lineage: Bacteria
Description: partial 16S ribosomal RNA
Rfam family: Bacterial small subunit ribosomal RNA
Source: RNAcentral
UAAUACGUAGGGGGCAAGCGUUGUCCGGAAUUAUUGGGCGUAAAGCGCGCGCAGGCGGUCUUUUAAGUCUGAUGUGAAAGCCCACGGCUCAACCGUGGAGGGUCAUUGGAAACUGGGAGACUUGAGUGUAAGAGAGGAAAGUGGAAUUCCAUGUGUAGCGGUGAAAUGCGUAGAUAUAUGGAGGAACACCAGUGGCGAAGGCGACUUUCUGGCUUACAACUGACGCUGAGGCGCGAAAGCGUGGGGAGCAAACAGG